CAUCGGGGGGGGUGGAGGCUCAGCUGGUGCGAUGCAUGAGCUGAGCAGUCCAGGGAUCAGACUUGGCCAAAUGAAAGCGAGUUCGGGGCUUGCGCAUCUUCGUCCCGAGUGGGCAUUUGCCUGCAUAACAAGUGCCUCAGCCAACGUGAGUGGCUGGGUUGCUAUGACUGGGUCUCUCUCAGCAGGAGGUGUCUGGAGUGCUUUAGCAGAGCUGUGGGGGGUGCCAAGGGCUGGAGUCGCAGCGGGUGCUGCAGGACAGGACCGAGGUGCAUUGGCAGACCUGGGGUUGGAGGAUCCCAAGGCUGGAAUAGCAGCGGGUGCUGCAGGAUGGGACCGAGGUGCCCUGGCAGAGCUGGGGUUGGAGGAUCCCAAGGCUGGAACAGCAGCGGGUGCUGCAGGAUGGGACCGAGGUGCCCUGGCAGAGCUAGCUGAGUGAGGCAGGACUGGAACAACAGAGAUCACUAAUAUGAACCAACUGCAAUAGUCUGGAAAGCAAUGAUUCAUGACUGAAACUGGCGGGUGCAGCCAAAGCCCGGAGACGUUGAUCCCAGGGGCCAGUGACAACUGGAGGACUUCUCAGAUAACACCACUCUGCGAUCCUUACUGGUUGUACCUACGCCAGAAUCUGGAAACAGCACUGGACUGGGACUCAGGAGACCUGGGUGAAUUCACAGCUCUGCCCCUGCCUGCUGGGUGACCUUAGGCAUCAUUUCCCAGAGAGGCUGGAACAGGAUGAGUUUCACCACAUGUGGAAACAGAAAUCUGGUGACACAGACAAGGGCUCGGGCUAGUGAGAACAGGGGCUAGGCAUGUGCUCACUCUCGACUCAGCUCAGCUGAUGCGUCACAUGCUGACCUACAGCAUCCCCAGCUGUUCCAUUCCUGAGACACCACCCAGCUCUGCCAAUGCACGAUCCCAUUCCCGAACUUCAGCCCUCUCUCCGCUCUACCCAUCCUGGACAUGCUCAUGCGUCUCUGCAGAGCCGGCAAUUCCAGUGCUCUGCAAUAAAGAUUCCUAUGGUGCAGUCAGAACAAAAUGGUACUUUAUAUCCUGAGGCCCAAUCUAGGAUAACCAGGCUUGUGCCAUUCGUAGCUGGAGCAGAUCUGGGCCCGUAUCUCAAGAAAAAAAAGCACCAGUAACUUACAAACUUUUUGGGGCAGGGGUUAUUUUCUAUGUGUACAGCCCCUGGCACAAAGCGGCCCCGAUCCUGAGUUGGGCCUCUGGGUGUCACUGCAAUAUAAAUAAUGACAAUUAUACGAAAUACCCCCUGUUGUUGUUAUAUAUUAUCAGCAUCACCAUUGCAGCUAGAGGUCGCAACUGAGAUCAAAGAUGCAUUGUACUAGGGGCUGUAAAAACACAGUGAGAGACAGUCCCUGCUUCAAGGCGU
Molecule: long non-coding RNA, 1387 nt
Organism: Chelonia mydas (Green sea turtle)
Lineage: Eukaryota; Metazoa; Chordata; Testudines; Cheloniidae
Exons: 3
Source: RefSeq, a predicted model, not a curated record